Molecule: ribosomal RNA, 301 nt
Filed under: uncultured bacterium
Lineage: Bacteria
Description: partial 16S ribosomal RNA
Rfam family: Bacterial small subunit ribosomal RNA
Source: RNAcentral
CAGUCGCCGCGGUAACACAUAGGGUGCGAGCGUUAAUCGGAAUUACUGGGCGUAAAGCGUGCGCAGGCGGUUAUAUAAGACAGAUGUGAAAUCCCCGGGCUCAACCUGGGACCUGCAUUUGUGACUGUAUAGCUAGAGUACGGUAGAGGGGGAUGGAAUUCCGCGUGUAGCAGCGAAAUGCGUAGAUAUGCGGAGGAACACCGAUGGCGAAGGCAAUCCCCUGGACCUGUACUGACGCUCAUGCACGAAAGCGUGAGGAGCAAACAGGAUUAGAUACCCCCGUAGUCCCUGUCUCUUAUAC